This 253-nucleotide ribosomal RNA is filed under the name uncultured bacterium. RNAcentral describes it as "partial 16S ribosomal RNA". It matches the Rfam family "Bacterial small subunit ribosomal RNA", at positions 524 to 776 of the family's 1533-position model. The record is from RNAcentral.
UACGAAGGGGGCUAGCGUUGCUCGGAAUCCCUGGGCGUAAAGGGUGCGUAGGCGGGUCUUUAAGUCAGGGGGGAAAUCCUGGAGCUCAACUCCAGAACUGCCUUUGAUACUGAAGAUCUUGAGUUCGGGAGAGGUGAGUGGAACUGCGAGUGUAGAGGUGAAAUUCGUAGAUAUCGGGAGGAACACCAGUGGCGAAGGCGGCGAUCUGGCCUAGUACUGACGCUGAGGUGCGAAAGCGUGGGGAGCAAACAGG